Lingula anatina is the source of this 458-nucleotide long non-coding RNA. The record is from RefSeq and is a predicted model, not a curated record. Lineage: Eukaryota; Metazoa; Brachiopoda; Lingulata; Lingulida; Lingulidae.
CAUAGUUACCAUGGUUUCAAUGAGUUAGUAAGGUGCUUAAUAUACAACAGCCUGGUGUUUAUAUCCUGUUUUUGAACACUAUUAAGAGGCUUGGGUAAUACAAGGUACACUAACUAACUUUCCCAUUAUAUGAUAAGAGUCAAAGUGACCAUAACAAAAUGCAUUAUCCAAAAGCAAUAACAACAGAUACAGAUAAUCACUAUAUAUGUGCUGACGUAUUGAGUCUGCACUUAUCUUGAUCUUGCUUACAAAUUCUAAAGCCAGGUGGAAAGGUGAUGUAAUGUGCUUCAUCAACUAAACAAACCGGUUUGGAAAGCAGAUGAAUGUUAAUAUCCUACAUUACAGGAAGGAAAUGAGCACUGCAAUUUGAAGAGAAUUUAUUCACUUGGGAUGGCUUUAAAAGUCUGUUCCACAGGAAACUACUAUGAUAGUGUUCUAAGAUAUAAAGUUUCAGGAAG